CAGUCGCGGUCCGGUUGGAGCCGCGCCGGGGCCGCUGGCUUCGCACCGAGCUUCUGUGCAGUGUGCCGGGAGAGGGGGCUCGGGAGUCUUCGGGAUCCCCCGGGUUCCGCUCCUGCCCGUGCUCAGCCCGCCUCGGUGUCCGCUCUCAGCUUGCCCCGCAUCGGCCUUUUCCCUCCCGCUCCGCCGCGGCACUCCUUUCGGGGCCGACAGCCUGGGACGCCGGGUGCGCUCGGGACGCGGGGCCCGGGAGGGGCCGGGGUGCGUGCGCUGCGCCCUCGCGCUUCACGCGUGUCCUCGGAAAGCCCUUCGAGGCGGGCCCAGCAGCGCCGAUCGAGUCGGGGUGGUGCUGCGGGCGCGGGGCUCGGGCUGCGUGGCUCAGGCUGGGGGGGGGGGGGGGACAGGAUAGCGCCCCGCCCCGGCCCCUCGUGCGGGGGCUGCUCCGCCGCCCCGGGGCCUCCGAGCAGCGACUGCGCUGGGCCGGUGGCCGGGCUCGGGAUCGCUUCUCACGGUCGCACCGCGAGGGGCCCCCGGCUGCCUCGGCCGCCCGCGCUUGGCGGGGGCAGCGGGGUUGACAAUGGCGCCGUCAGGCCCGUGUGCACGCCCGGCCUGUUACCAGGCGCCCGUGGAACUAUUCCGGCUGGAUCCAGGAGGUUUUUGUUUGAGGUUCAGAGCGGGCAAAGUCAGAAGUCUCCCCGCGGUCCUUUGUUUGAGCUGGGGGAGGGGAGGCGGCUGGUGCACGGGGACAAUCCAGGCCUGGGGAUGGAAAUGAGUGGCCCAGGGCUGCUCAGUCUGGUCGGAGCGGGGCCACGCGCUGUGUUCACAGAGUUUCCAGAGUCUGGGGAAAUUAAAAAAAGAAAGAAAGAAACCCGCCUCCCUGCCACCUGGAGAGGACGGCGGUGCACUUCUGAUGCGUUUCGUUCCAGACUGUUCCAUGCAUUUGGGCAGGAAGGAACUUUGCUGGUGAUGCAAAUGCCCUUUCUGGGGUGGAAGGGACAUGACUGUGUCCGCCGAAACACGGAAAAGGCGCAUUUCUUACAGUGUCAGGUGCCCGACACUGAACGUGACAUCAGCCAGCACAGCUCCCUGCCCGGGAGCCCUGCUCCUAACCAGCUUCGCGCUCCCCAGCGGCUCUGCAGCCAGCGCACCUGA
RNAcentral lists this long non-coding RNA (1149 nucleotides) under Oryctolagus cuniculus (rabbit). RNAcentral's name for it is "lncRNA (ENSOCUG00000033489.1)". The record is from RNAcentral. Lineage: Eukaryota; Metazoa; Chordata; Mammalia; Lagomorpha; Leporidae.